RNAcentral lists this ribosomal RNA (497 nucleotides) under uncultured bacterium. RNAcentral's name for it is "partial 16S ribosomal RNA". It matches the Rfam family "Bacterial small subunit ribosomal RNA", at positions 28 to 507 of the family's 1533-position model. The record is from RNAcentral.
GAUGAACGCUGGCGGCGUGCCUAAUACAUGCAAGUCGAGCGAACGGACGAGAAGCUUGCUUCUCUGAUGUUAGCGGCGGACGGGUGAGUAACACGUGGAUAACCUACCUAUAAGACUGGGAUAACUUCGGGAAACCGGAGCUAAUACCGGAUGAUAUUUUGAACGGCAUGGUUCAAAAGUGAAAGACGGUCUUGCUGUCACUUAUAGAUGGAUCCGCGCUGCAUUAGCUAGUUGGUAAGGUAACGGCUUACCAAGGCAACGAUGCAUAGCCGACCUGAGAGGGUGAUCGGCCACACUGGAACUGAGACACGGUCCAGACUCCUACGGGAGGCAGCAGUAGGGAAUCUUCCGCAAUGGGCGAAAGCCUGACGGAGCAACGCCGCGUGAGUGAUGAAGGUCUUCGGAUCGUAAAACUCUGUUAUUAGGGAAGAACAUAUGUGUAAGUAACUGUGCACAUCUUGACGGUACCUAAUCAGAAAGCCACGGCUAACUACGUG